UGGGGAAUAUUGCACAAUGGACGGAAGUUUGAUGCAGCGACGCCGCGUGGAGGGUGUAGGCCUUCGGGUUGUGAACUCCUUUUUCUCGCGAAAAAGGCACAGUUUUGGCUGUGUUGAUGGUAGUGGGGGAAGAAGCGCCGGCUAACUACGUGCCAGCAGCCGCGGUAAUACGUAGGGCGCGAGCGUUGUCCGGAUUUAUUGGGCGUAAAGAGCUCGUAGGUGGUUCGUCGCGUCUGUCGUGAAAGCCAGCAGCUUAACUGUUGGUCUGCGGUGGGUACGGGCGGGCUUGAGUGCGGUAGGGGUGACUGGAAUUCCUGGUGUAGCGGUGAAAUGCGUAGAUAUUAAAAAGAAUACCGGUGGCGAAGGCGACUUACUGGGCUCAUUCUGACGCUGAGGAACGAAAGCGUGGGUAGCAAACAGG
This 421-nucleotide ribosomal RNA is filed under the name Fusobacteriota bacterium. RNAcentral describes it as "Fusobacteria bacterium partial 16S ribosomal RNA". It matches the Rfam family "Bacterial small subunit ribosomal RNA", at positions 355 to 776 of the family's 1533-position model. Lineage: Bacteria; Fusobacteriati; Fusobacteriota. The record is from RNAcentral.